This is a long non-coding RNA of Oxyura jamaicensis (ruddy duck), 161 nucleotides long. RefSeq lists it as uncharacterized. The transcript has 3 exons. The record is from RefSeq and is a predicted model, not a curated record. Lineage: Eukaryota; Metazoa; Chordata; Aves; Anseriformes; Anatidae.
CUCCUUCCAGCAGUUGUACACUUUCUUUUUUUUUCACCUAAUCUCCAGUAGAAGAUCUCUGGUCAGCCUUGCCGGCCUCCUGCCCCACCUGCCUGACUUCUGAUAUUUUGGAAUUGGCUGAUCUUGUGCUUUUAGGAGGCAGCAAGUUCAGCCUAAGUUCA